GUGAACGCUGGCGGUCGGCCUAACACAUGCCAGUCGCACGGCAGCACAGUAAGAGCUUGCUCUUACGGGUGGCGAGUGGCGGACGGGUGAGGAAUACAUCGGAAUCUACUUUUUCGUGGGGGAUAACGUAGGGAAACUUACGCUAAUACCGCAUACGACCUAUGGGUGAAAGCAGGGGAUCUUCGGACCUUGCGCGAUUGAAUGAGCCGAUGUCGGAUUAGCUAGUUGGCGGGGUAAAGGCCCACCAAGGCGACGAUCCGUAGCUGGUCUGAGAGGAUGAUCAGCCACACUGGAACUGAGACACGGUCCAGACUCCUACGGGAGGCAGCAGUGGGGAAUAUUGGACAAUGGGCGCAAGCCUGAUCCAGCCAUACCGCGUGGGUGAAGAAGGCCUUCGGGUUGUAAAGCCCUUUUGUUGGGAAAGAAAAGCAGCAGGUUAAUACCCCGCUGUUCUGACGGUACCCAAAGAAUAAGCACCGGCUAACUUCGUG
RNAcentral lists this ribosomal RNA (491 nucleotides) under uncultured bacterium. RNAcentral's name for it is "partial 16S ribosomal RNA". It matches the Rfam family "Bacterial small subunit ribosomal RNA", at positions 29 to 507 of the family's 1533-position model. The record is from RNAcentral.